This is a non-coding RNA of Drosophila melanogaster (fruit fly), 733 nucleotides long. The record is from Ensembl. NCBI's taxonomy places the organism in Eukaryota, Metazoa, Arthropoda, Insecta, Diptera, Drosophilidae.
UUGUGAAUGAUUCGCUCACUUUGUGCCGCCAGUUAUUUACUAAUGAGAGCUAAUUGAGUUUAAAAUGCUACUAAAAGGAUAUACUUUCGGUUCUGGAUCUGCUGAUUUGAAGGGCCUACAUUUGCGCAACUGGGUGGCUGUGGUGGUCUGGAGGACUAUAACGGUAGCCCAACUGGAGCAGCAAAUGCCGCACGCAUUUCGGUAAAUGAAAUUUAACAAAAGUCAAGCCGCCCGAGAAGAACUACAAUUACAAGCCACGAAGAUUUGUGCAGCUGUCAGUCAAUGGGAAGAUGGCAUAUCGCCCCUCGAUUCUCGAUUCUUACGGGGAUCUCGAAAUAAGUGACUGUUGAUGAGCAUUGUGCAGCAGGAUCGCCCCAAUUUGCCGCAGUGCUGACAAACAGCUAGGAGCUGAAAACUCAAAACUGAGACGCCCCCUAAAAUGAUACCCACUAUUUUUAGAUACCCCAAAUGGAGCAGAAGAUGCAAGGAAACCACUUCCGGUUUGGCGCGUGCUCGAAACCGAAACAAAAACCGAGAACUUGAAGUGAAAAUCAAACUAAUUUCUGUUAAUUACUGCAGUCAAUGACCGCGACGAAAACUGGAUACUUUCGGCGACUCUCCGGCUUUUCAUAAAUUAUGAAACUUUAAUGACGCCACUGACAUUUAUAGGCCCGCAGGCAAGUUGGCAAAAUAGGUCAAGCCAAGCGAUAAAUGAUGACGCAGCAUCCCAAAU